GCCAAAUGUGGUGUAGUGGUUUGAGUGUUGGACUAUGACUCUGGAGACCAGGGUUUGAACCCCUACUUGGCA
Molecule: non-coding RNA, 72 nt
Organism: Phrynosoma platyrhinos (Desert horned lizard)
Lineage: Eukaryota; Metazoa; Chordata; Lepidosauria; Squamata; Phrynosomatidae
Source: the annotation of a GenBank genome assembly